UGGGGAAUUUUGGACAAUGGGGGAAACCCUGAUCCAGCCAUCCCGCGUGUGCGAUGAAGGCCUUCGGGUUGUAAAGCACUUUUGGCAGGAAAGAAACGUCGCGGGUUAAUACCCCGCGAAACUGACGGUACCUGCAGAAUAAGCACCGGCUAACUACGUGCCAGCAGCCGCGGUAAUACGUAGGGUGCAAGCGUUAAUCGGAAUUACUGGGCGUAAAGCGUGCGCAGGCGGUUCGGAAAGAAAGAUGUGAAAUCCCAGAGCUUAACUUUGGAACUGCAUUUUUAACUACCGGGCUAGAGUGUGUCAGAGGGAGGUGGAAUUCCGCGUGUAGCAGUGAAAUGCGUAGAUAUGCGGAGGAACACCGAUGGCGAAGGCAGCCUCCUGGGAUAACACUGACGCUCAUGCACGAAAGCGUGGGGAGCAAACAGGAUUAGAUACCCUGGUAGUCCACGCCCUAAACGAUGUCAACUAGCUGUUGGGGCCUUCGGGCCUUGGUAGCGCAGCUAACGCGUGAAGUUGACCGCCUGGGGAGUACGGUCGCAAGAUUAAAACUCAAAU
Molecule: ribosomal RNA, 558 nt
Filed under: uncultured bacterium
Lineage: Bacteria
Description: partial 16S ribosomal RNA
Rfam family: Bacterial small subunit ribosomal RNA
Source: RNAcentral